GAUCCUGGCUCAGAGUGAACGCUGGCGGUAGGCCUAACACAUGCAAGUCGAACGGCAGCACAGGAGAGCUUGCUCUCUGGGUGGCGAGUGGCGGACGGGUGAGGAAUACAUCGGAAUCUACUCUGUCGUGGGGGAUAACGUAGGGAAACUUACGCUAAUACCGCAUACGACCUACGGGUGAAAGCAGGGGACCUUCGGGCCUUGCGCGAUUGAAUGAGCCGAUGUCGGAUUAGCUAGUUGCCGGGGUAAAGGCCCACCAAGGCGACGAUCCGUAGCUGGUCUGAGAGGAUGAUCAGCCACACUGGAACUGAGACACGGUCCAGACUCCUACGGGAGGCAGCAGUGGGGAAUAUUGGACAAUGGGCGCAAGCCUGAUCCAGCCAUACCGCGUGGGUGAAGAAGGCCUUCGGGUUGUAAAGCCCUUUUGUUGGGAAAGAAAUCCAGCUGGCUAAUACCCGGUUGGGAUGACGGUACCCAAAGAAUAAGCACCGGCUAACUUCGUGCCAGCAGCCGCGGUAAUACGAAGGGUGCAAGCGUUACUCGGAAUUACUGGGCGUAAAGCGCGCGUAGGUGGUUAUUUAAGUCCGUUGUGAAAGCCCUGGGCUCAACCUGGGAACUGCAGUGGAUACUGGAUGACUAGAAUGUGGUAGAGGGUAGCGGAAUUCCUGGUGUAGCAGUGAAAUGCGUA
RNAcentral lists this ribosomal RNA (688 nucleotides) under uncultured bacterium. RNAcentral's name for it is "bacterial SSU rRNA". It matches the Rfam family "Bacterial small subunit ribosomal RNA", at positions 15 to 692 of the family's 1533-position model. The record is from RNAcentral.